Molecule: long non-coding RNA, 693 nt
Organism: Mustela lutreola (European mink)
Lineage: Eukaryota; Metazoa; Chordata; Mammalia; Carnivora; Mustelidae
Exons: 4
Source: RefSeq, a predicted model, not a curated record
UCCUGCACACAGUUGGAAGGUAGCACAAUAUAGGGGAGAGGUUACUGAGCCAGGAGUCAGGAAACUGCUUUUUGGCCAGGCUUUGCUAUGUGACCUUGGGCCAGUCUCUUGACCUCUCUGAUCCUCAACACCUCUACUGGUUGGACAAAAGCCCCUCUGGCCUUGGAACUCUACAGAGGGCCCCAUCUGGAAAGGCUGCCUUUGCCCCUGGAACCCGAAGAUGGCCUCAUCAUCUAUGGAGAUCAUCCUAAAUACAUACUCAGCAACUGGCUUUUUUCACCGAGGGUCAGAUCAGAGCUUUUUCUCCAGAUGUUGGGAUCCCGGCAGCCUUCUCGAGCUGGAAGUGUCCUUGGAGAGCAUGAAGCCUGGCUCUCUCUCUUCUCACUGAUAAGGAAGCAGGCUCCGAUCAGAGGCAGGAAUCAGCUUGGUGAGGUCCCAGCCAGUUCAAGGCUGAGCUUCCUUCCCUAUGAAAUGGGAUGAACCACGGUCAUUGCCUCCUCCGCUGGGAAAUAAGAUACUAGCCUAAUGAAUGUAGCACCUGGCACGGAAAUGAGGGCUCAGUACUUGCUAUCCAGCAUGAUAUCUGAUGGGUCUUGGACCCCGCUGGAAGACUGGCCUUCAUCUGCCCAGAGCCCAUGAGCAGCUUCUCUGACCCAACAGAAGGAGACGGCUUACACGGGCAACUUCCGUCCA